This 253-nucleotide ribosomal RNA is filed under the name uncultured bacterium. RNAcentral's name for it is "partial 16S ribosomal RNA". It matches the Rfam family "Bacterial small subunit ribosomal RNA", at positions 524 to 776 of the family's 1533-position model. The record is from RNAcentral.
UACAGAGGUCCCAAGCGUUGUUCGGAUUCACUGGGCGUAAAGGGUGCGCAGGUGGUCGGGUAAGUCUGAUGUGAAAUCCCGCAGCUUAACUGCGGAAUGGCAUUGGAUACUAUUCGGCUAGAGGGUUGGAGGGGGGACUGGAAUUCUCGGUGUAGCAGUGAAAUGCGUAGAUAUCGAGAGGAACACCAGUGGCGAAGGCGAGUCCCUGGACAACUCCUGGCGCUGAGGCACGAAAGCUAGGGGAGCAAACAGG